Molecule: non-coding RNA, 67 nt
Organism: Pelobates cultripes (western spadefoot toad)
Lineage: Eukaryota; Metazoa; Chordata; Amphibia; Anura; Pelobatidae
Source: the annotation of a GenBank genome assembly
CUCCUGUCCUGCUGAACUGAGCCAGAUGUAUAUUAUCCACCGAUUAUCAGCUCAGUAGGUACAGGAG